UACGGGGGGGGCAAGCGUUGUUCGGAAUCACUGGGCGUAAAGGGCGCGUAGGCGGCUCAUGAAGGCUGUGGUGAAAGUCCGGGGCUCAACCUCGGAUCGGCCGUGGCGACUCGUGGGCUGGAGCACUGUAGAGGCGGGUGGAAUUCCGGGUGUAGCGGUGGAAUGCGUAGAGAUCCGGAAGAACACCAGUGGCGAAGGCGGCCCGCUGGGCAGUGGCUGACGCUGAAGCGCGACAGCGUGGGGAGCAAACAGG
Molecule: ribosomal RNA, 253 nt
Filed under: uncultured bacterium
Lineage: Bacteria
Description: partial 16S ribosomal RNA
Rfam family: Bacterial small subunit ribosomal RNA
Source: RNAcentral